CCUGAAGCUCAAGGUACCAGGCUUUGCAGCCAGACUCUGCAUCCCCUCCCAGCUCUGCUGCUCACUCCCUGUGCAGGAGGCCACUUUCAACUCAGGCUCAGUCCUGGCAGGGUCUCCCUGAAGUCCUGCCCCCUGCUGCUCUGGACGGAAACCCCUGACUCCUGAACAGGGCCAUUACCUUCAAAGCCCAUAGCAAGCACUCCAUGAAGCCUCCACCCCUGUGGGAUCAAUGUCCCUCUCCUGCCCAGGACAUCCAGAACAUCUUGUCUGCCAGAAAUCAGCAUGCUUGGGCUGUAACAUUCA
Molecule: long non-coding RNA, 303 nt
Organism: Leopardus geoffroyi (Geoffroy's cat)
Lineage: Eukaryota; Metazoa; Chordata; Mammalia; Carnivora; Felidae
Exons: 2
Source: RefSeq, a predicted model, not a curated record